AGGCUUUCUGCAGAUUGCUAGUUCCAGCAGGGAGAUGGAGCCAGGAGGAUAGGAAAUGGGGCUGUUCAUGCGGGGGUCUCUUGGGAUGUGAGGUUGGAAGCCAGACCACGGACCCAAGUGCAGCCCGCACCAGCUGCUGUCAUGCCUCAAGGCCAUCUUCUGAUGCUCCAAAGCUUGACAUCCUUUUAUCUCAGCCUGAGAAGAUGCCAAAGUCAACAAUAAUGCCCUUGCUUGCCACCGGUCUCUAAGAAAAUCCAUCUGUCAGGGAGCGGAUAGUAUGGACACAAGCUGAGGCUCUGAAAGAGUUUGUCUGACGCAUGUCCACAGCCCUAGAAUCCUGGAUCCAUACCCAGAAGACCCACCACAAAGACAAGAGCUACAAAAUGACUGUAAGACUGGAGAAAUGGACGAAUCCUGAGCAGAGAGCAGCCCCACAGUGUGAAUGGCCAGCCGCUCCCAGCCACGGCACAGAAAGCAUAUCGGGAACCUUAAGUAGAGGAGGUUUGGAGGCUUCUAGGAUACCUCAGACACCCUCUUCCCUUCCCUGAACAAAAAAGCCCUCUGUGAUGGCUAAUAUCAUCCAUUUGAUGGAUCUAGAAUCGCCUAGGAGACACUCCUCUGGGCGUGACUAGGAGGAGUUAAUUGGGUUAAUUGAGACUGGGUUUAUUUGAAGAAACCUAUCCUGGAUAUGGGCAGCACCAUUCCCUAGGCUGGGUUCCAGGACUGAAUAAAAAGAAAGUGAGCUGAGCACCAGCAUCCAUCUCUCUCUGCUUCCUGACUGUGGAUGCCAUGGGACCAGCUGCCUCAUGCCUUCCCCACCAUGGACUGUAUUCCCUAGAACCAUGAGUCACAGUAAACCCUCCUCCCUUAAGCAGCUUCUGUCAGGUACUCUGUCACUACAAUAAGAAAAAUAAUUAACAUGUCCCUGUAUGUUAUAAAUUGUACCAGCCCAACUAUUUGAACUCAUUGGAUUUGGUUUCUGUAUUGUCAUAAGACUUGUCUGUGCAAUUACACAUGUGUCACGGAAAAUAAAAAAGCAUAGAGAGGCAAGCCCAAAA
Molecule: long non-coding RNA, 1058 nt
Organism: Mesocricetus auratus (golden hamster)
Lineage: Eukaryota; Metazoa; Chordata; Mammalia; Rodentia; Cricetidae
Exons: 2
Source: RefSeq, a predicted model, not a curated record